GCCCGCAUGGCGCAGUGGCGUGUGUCUGGCAUCCCCUUUUUAAGGGCGCUGGUUCGAUUCCAGCUGCGGGCA
RNAcentral lists this transfer RNA (72 nucleotides) under Colletotrichum tofieldiae. RNAcentral's name for it is "tRNA-Undet". It matches the Rfam family "tRNA". From Rfam's summary of the family: Transfer RNA (tRNA) molecules are approximately 80 nucleotides in length. Lineage: Eukaryota; Fungi; Ascomycota; Sordariomycetes; Glomerellales; Glomerellaceae. The record is from RNAcentral.